GAGGUAAAAAGCUUUACCCAAGGCAGCNAUCGGUAGCUGGUUCUGGAGANGGAUGAGCAGCCCNCACCUGGGGANUGAGACACGGCCCCCAGACUCCUACGGGAGGCAGCAGUGGGGAAUUUUCCGGCAAUGGGCGCAAGCCUGACGGGAGCAACGCCGCGUGUGGGAAGAAGGCUCUUGGCUGUCANCCACUUUUCUCAGGGAAGAAGAUCUGACGGUACCUGAGGAAUCAGCCUCGGCUAACUCCGUGCCAGCAGCCGCGGUAAUACGGAGGAGGCAAGCGUUAUCCGGAAUUAUUGGGCGUAAAGCGUCCGCAGGGGGCACAUCAAGUCUGCUGUUAAAGNCNGGAGCUUAACUCCGGUAGAGCAGUGGAANCUGGUGUGCUAGAGGGCGACAGGGGUAGAGGGAAUUCCCAGUGUAGCGGUGAAAUGCGUAGAGAUUGGGAAGAACACCGGUGGAGAAAGCGCUCUACUGGGUCGCACCUGACCCUCAGGGACGAAAGCUAAGGUAGCGAAAGGGAUUAGAUACCCCUGGANACUU
RNAcentral lists this ribosomal RNA (540 nucleotides) under uncultured Euhalothece sp. RNAcentral describes it as "bacterial SSU rRNA". It matches the Rfam family "Bacterial small subunit ribosomal RNA", at positions 253 to 797 of the family's 1533-position model. Lineage: Bacteria; Bacillati; Cyanobacteriota; Cyanophyceae; Chroococcales; Halothecacae. The record is from RNAcentral.